RNAcentral lists this unclassified non-coding RNA (331 nucleotides) under soil metagenome. RNAcentral's name for it is "partial contains 5.8S ribosomal RNA, internal transcribed spacer 2, and large subunit ribosomal RNA". The stretch from base 1 to 120 matches the Rfam family "5.8S ribosomal RNA", at positions 35 to 154 of the family's 154-position model. The record is from RNAcentral.
GAUGAAGAACGUAGCGAAAUGCGAUAAGUAAUGUGAAUUGCAGAAUUCAGUGAAUCAUCGAAUCUUUGAACGCACAUUGCGCCCCCUGGUAUUCCGGGGGGCAUGCCUGUUCGAGCGUCAUUUCACCACUCAAGCCUCGCUUGGUAUUGGGCAACGCGGUCCGCCGCGUGCCUCAAAUCGACCGGCUGGGUCUUCUGUCCCCUAAGCGUUGUGGAAACUAUUCGCUAAAGGGUGUUCGGGAGGCUACGCCGUAAAACAACCCCAUUUCUCAGGUUGACCUCGGAUCAGGUAGGGAUACCCGCUGAACUUAAGCAUAUCAAUAAGCGGAGGA